Molecule: long non-coding RNA, 322 nt
Organism: Hyla sarda
Lineage: Eukaryota; Metazoa; Chordata; Amphibia; Anura; Hylidae
Exons: 3
Source: RefSeq, a predicted model, not a curated record
GCUGAGUACACAGCUCCUCACCUCCCCUCCCCCCGCUCUGUAUCCUAAGGACACAGGUCUGCACAGGAGAAGGACCUCAGAGAGAAGAUAAGUGUUAUCUGAAGGGGAGGAUGAGAAGCAUUUUUCACCGUACCAGCGCUGCUGACACCGGACAAGCCACGGCUGCAGAUCCAAGUUACCAUCACAUUUAUACUUGACAUCCUCUGAGGUGUUGUGCUCUUGGCGCAACCCUACAUGAUGUGCUGUCAUGAAUAAUUGCAAGGGUCAGAGACGAGACGAGGACAGGGACAUCAGUAAUAUGGAUAAUACAGUAGGAAAGAAG